RNAcentral lists this ribosomal RNA (254 nucleotides) under uncultured bacterium. RNAcentral's name for it is "partial 16S rRNA". It matches the Rfam family "Bacterial small subunit ribosomal RNA", at positions 505 to 758 of the family's 1533-position model. The record is from RNAcentral.
GUGUCAGCAGCCGCGGUAAUACGUAGGAGGCGAGCGUUAUCCGGAUUUACUGGGUGUAAAGCGCGUGCAGGCGGAUCGGUAAGUUGGAUGUGAAAGCUCCCGGCUUAACUGGGAGAGGUCGUUCAAAACUACCGGUCUUGAGUACAGUAGAGGAAAGUGGAAUUCCGGGUGUAGGGGUGAAAUGCGUAGAUAUCCGGAGGAACACCAGUGGCGAAAGCGCCUUUCUGGACUGUAACUGACGCUGAGACGCGAAA